This 477-nucleotide ribosomal RNA is filed under the name Rana dalmatina (agile frog). Its description in RNAcentral is "partial 12S ribosomal RNA". It matches the Rfam family "Bacterial small subunit ribosomal RNA", at positions 853 to 1528 of the family's 1533-position model. The record is from RNAcentral. Lineage: Eukaryota; Metazoa; Chordata; Amphibia; Anura; Ranidae.
UUAACUUACAUCCACACCGCCAGGGGAUUACGAGCAAUGCUUAAAACCCAAAGGAUUUGACGGUGUCCCACCCCACUAGAGGAGCCUGUUCUAUAAUCGAUGAUCCCCGCUUCACCUAACCAUCCCUCGCCUACCAGUCUGUAUACCUCCGUCGAAAGCUUACCAUGUGAACGCCCGCAGUAGGCUUAAUGAUUCACCAUCAACACGUCAGGUCAAGGUGCAGCUUAAGGAAUGGAAAGCAAUGGGCUACAAUUUCUAACUUAGAACAAACGAAAGACUAUGUGAAACCCUAGUCAUGAAGGUGGAUUUAGUAGUAAAAAGAAAGUAGAGUGUUCUUUUUAACCCGGCUCUGGGACGCGUACACACCGCCCGUCACCCUCUUCGACAGUACCCCGUUUGUUCCUAACCUAACACCACGUUUUAGAAGAGGCAAGUCGUAACAUGGUAAGUGUACUGGAAAGUGCACUUGGUAUACCA